Molecule: long non-coding RNA, 493 nt
Filed under: Ananas comosus (pineapple)
Lineage: Eukaryota; Viridiplantae; Streptophyta; Magnoliopsida; Poales; Bromeliaceae
Description: long non-coding RNA (ACOM_LNC037957)
Source: RNAcentral
AUAUACAAAAUGAAUCCGACCAAAAAUUUAAAAUUCAAAUUUGAAGCAGAAAAAACGAACCCAAAACAAUCAUUUUUCUUUACCAUAUAUCAAACCAUAUUGUAUAUUAAAAUCUAUAUAUCAAACUAUAUUGUAUAUUAAAACUUCAAAUACAAUCCCUGUGGUCUCACUUCAGUACCCUAUGGUUUAAAGUGUAUCAAUUUAGUACUAUGUGGUUUUAUAUUAUCCUUUUAUUAUCGAUUCCGCUAAUUUUUUUCGUUAAAUAAGUGACAAAGUUAAAUCUAAAGAGUACUAUUCGAUAUAUCUAGGUAGAGUAUUUAAAGUUUUUUUGUAUAUAAUUAAACGAAGUAUUCACGGAGAAAUUGACAAAAAAAUAAAAAUAAAAUCACAAGACACUAAUUUGAUACACUUUAAGUCACAAGAUACUAAAGUGAGAAAGCUCGCAAGGGUGGCAUCUAAAGUUUACCCCCCCCCAAAAAAAAAAAAAAAAAAN